Molecule: long non-coding RNA, 237 nt
Filed under: Gossypium barbadense (sea-island cotton)
Lineage: Eukaryota; Viridiplantae; Streptophyta; Magnoliopsida; Malvales; Malvaceae
Description: long non-coding RNA (GBAR_LNC000723)
Source: RNAcentral
GGAUACACGGCCAGAUCACAUGCUCAUAGGGCAGACUGUAUGUCACACACGGUCUAGACACACGCCCGUGUGCCAACCCAUGUGGACAACCUUGAGGCUAUUUUCCAAGCGUUUUGUCACCCUUAAUAACACAUGCACACUUACAUAUCUCAAUGUCAUCCUACAUGGCAUAAAUGAGCACUUACACAUUCAUAAACAUGGCUCAUGCAUAUCAACUUCUUACCAAUUUAUCCUUGC